RNAcentral lists this ribosomal RNA (101 nucleotides) under uncultured marine bacterium. RNAcentral's name for it is "partial small subunit ribosomal RNA". The record is from RNAcentral.
AACGCGCAAAACCUUACCAGUCCUUGACAUGGGGAGUUUGGUUUCCGGAGACGGAUUCCUUCAGUUCGGCUGGCUCCCACACAGGUGUUGCAUGGCUGUCG